GCAAUUAACAUAAGUUAAUUGGGUAGGGAGCGUUCCUGCAUGGGAGAAGCCUGACCGGAAGGACAGGUGGACAGGCAGGAAGAGAGAAUGCCGGUAUGAGUAGCGAAAAGAAGGGUGAGAAUCCCUUCCACCGAAAGCCUAAGGGUUCCUGGGCAACGAUCGUCGUCCCAGGGUAAGUCGGGACCUAAUCCGAGGCGGAGACGCGUAGGAGAUGGACAACAGGUUGAAAUUCCUGUACUGGCUGAGGCCGUUUGAGCGAAGGAGUGACACAGGAAGGAAGGCGCGCGUGCGAAUGGAAGAGCACGUCCAAGCAGGUAGGUCGGGAGACAGGCAAAUCCGUUUCCCGUAAGGCCGAGAUGCGAUGGGGAGCUUCUGGAGACAGAAGCGAAGGGGCUGGCACUAAACUGUCGAGAAAAGCUUCUAGUGAGGACUCAGGCACCCGUACCGAAACCGACACAGGUAGGCAGGAUGAGAAUUCUAAGGUGCGCGGGAAAACCCUCGUUAAGGAACUCGGCAAAAUAUAUCCGUAACUUCGGGAAAAGGAUAACCCAGCGUACGUGAAGUGCAGAAGCGCAUGGAGCGGAGAUGGGUGGCAGAAGAGAGGCCCAAGCGACUGUUUACCACAAACACAGGCGUCUGCUAAAGCGAAAGCUGAUGUAUAGAUGCUGACACCUGCCCGGUGCUGGAAGGUUAAGAGGAAGUGUUAGCGCAAGCGAAGCAGUGAAUUGAAGCCCCAGUAAACGGCGGCCGUAACUAUAACGGUCCUAAGGUAGCGAAAUUCCUUGUCGGGUAAGUUCCGACCCGCACGAAAGGUGUAACGAUUUGGGCACUGUCUCAACGAGGGACCCGGUGAAAUUGAAGUACCUGUGAAGAUGCAGGUUACCCGCGACUGGACAGAAAGACCCCAUGGAGCUUUACUGUAACCUGAGAUUGGAUUCCGGUAAGAGAUGUACAGGAUAGUUGGGAGGCUGAGAAGUGAGUACGCCAGUAUUCACGGAGCCGCUGGUGGGAUACCAACCUUGUUUUAUUGGAAUUCUAACGAGAAGCGUAACGAGCUUGGCAGUCUCAGGCGGGCAGUUUGACUGGGGCGGUCGCCUCCGAAAGAGUAACGGAGGCGCCCAAAGGUUCCCUCAGCGCGGACGGAAACCGCGCGAAGAGUGCAAAGGCAGAAGGGAGCUUGACUGCGAGACGGACAGGUCGAGCAGGGACGAAAGUCGGGCUUAGUGAUCCGGUGGUAGAGAGUGGAAUUGCCAUCGCUCAACGGAUAAAAGCUACCCUGGGGAUAACAGGCUUAUCUCUCCCAAGAGUCCAUAUCGACGGGGAGGUUUGGCACCUCGAUGUCGGCUCAUCACAUCCUGGGGCUGAAGUAGGUCCCAAGGGUUGGGCUGUUCGCCCAUUAAAGUGGUACGCGAGCUGGGUUCAGAACGUCGUGAGACAGUUCGGUCCCUAUCCAUCGCGGGCGUAAGAAACUUGAAAGGGGCUGCUCCUAGUACGAGAGGACCGGAGUGGACCGACCAAUGGUGUACCAGUCAUGGCGCCAGCCGUGCAGCUGGGUAGCUACGUCGGGGACGGAUAAACGCUGAAAGCAUCUAAGCGUGAAACCAGCCUAGAGAUGAGGUUUCUCAUUGU
RNAcentral lists this ribosomal RNA (1629 nucleotides) under Megasphaera sp. NM10. RNAcentral describes it as "bacterial LSU rRNA". It matches the Rfam family "Bacterial large subunit ribosomal RNA", at positions 1205 to 2820 of the family's 2925-position model. The record is from RNAcentral. Lineage: Bacteria; Bacillati; Bacillota; Negativicutes; Veillonellales; Veillonellaceae.